Long non-coding RNA from Drosophila sulfurigaster albostrigata, 384 nucleotides. RefSeq lists it as uncharacterized. The transcript is spliced from 2 exons. Lineage: Eukaryota; Metazoa; Arthropoda; Insecta; Diptera; Drosophilidae. The record is from RefSeq and is a predicted model, not a curated record.
UUUAAGUGGACGAUCAUCGAUUCUCUUCCCGAUCAGAUUCAUCAUGAAAAUGUAUUUUUUUCUGUUCUUUUCAUUCAGCAGCAUUUAUGUUGCGGCUUAUGCUUAUGUUUUUGUGGCUUGGUAUUUCAUCAUUCAGCUUAUCGAGUAUCUUUCGUAACCAUUGUAUUUCUUGAACUUCAAUCCAUAAUGACAACAAUGCAAUUUAUAGAAGACAAAAAAUGCAACUUAUAAAUUUCAGAUAUAUGUAUAUUAUAUCUGAGGAAUGAAUUUCUUUUUAUGCUGCCAAUUAAUAAAUCUCAUUUAAUUAUUCAAUAACAAUAUACUUUGUUGCAAAAGCUUAAUCUAAUCGAUCGUUUAUUUACUAUAAUAUGUAUACCCGUCUGA